AUUGAACGCUGGCGGCAGGCCUAACACAUGCAAGUCGAGCGGAUGAAGGGAGCUUGCUCCUGGAUUCAGCGGCGGACGGGUGAGUAAUGCCUAGGUAUCUGCCUGGUAGUGGGGGAUAACGUCCGGAAACGGGCGCUAAUACCGCAUACGUCCUGAGGGAGAAAGUGGGGGAUCUUCGGACCUCACGCUAUCAGAUGAGCCUAGGUCGGAUUAGCUAGUUGGUGGGGUAAAGGCCUACCAAGGCGACGAUCCGUAACUGGUCUGAGAGGAUGAUCAGUCACACUGGAACUGAGACACGGUCCAGACUCCUACGGGAGGCAGCAGUGGGGAAUAUUGGACAAUGGGCGAAAGCCUGAUCCAGCCAUGCCGCGUGUGUGAAGAAGGUCUUCGGAUUGUAAAGCACUUUAAGUUGGGAGGAAGGGCAGUAAGUUAAUACCUUGCUGCUUUGACGUUACCAACAGAAUAAGCACCGGCUAACUUCGUG
This 484-nucleotide ribosomal RNA is filed under the name uncultured bacterium. RNAcentral describes it as "partial 16S ribosomal RNA". It matches the Rfam family "Bacterial small subunit ribosomal RNA", at positions 30 to 507 of the family's 1533-position model. The record is from RNAcentral.